Molecule: long non-coding RNA, 1213 nt
Organism: Gasterosteus aculeatus aculeatus (three-spined stickleback)
Lineage: Eukaryota; Metazoa; Chordata; Actinopteri; Perciformes; Gasterosteidae
Source: Ensembl
GCUCAGAGUCGGUGGCAGACUGAAGCUGGCAGACCUGAGCGACAUAGAGAAAAACCCAGUAAUCUUGCCUGGUCAGCAUCACGUUUCCACAUUGAUAUUACGACAAUAUCACGAGCUGGUUGAACACCAAGGGCGUACUUUCACAGAAGGAGCCGUUCGAAAUGCUGGUAUAUGGCUGAUAGGUGGCAAAAGAUGCAUCAGCAGCAUUCUUCACGGAUGUGUAAUUUGCCGGAGGCUUAAAGGUGAAAUGGAGAGGCAGAAUAUGGCUGACCUGCCAGAAGAACGGCUAAGCACUUCGGCACCUUUUUCCUACACAGGCCUUGAUGUUUUCGGCCCAUUUUCGGACUGUCACUGCAAGGCGCACUAGAGGAGGAACAGUCCUCAAUAAGCGUUGAGCAGUACUCUUGUACUCGUGCUGUCCACAGUGAUCGAGUCUAUGGAGGCUUCAUCGUGCGUUAAUGCUCUCCGACGGUUCUUCGCCAUUUGCGGUUCCUGCAAACAGAUGCAUUCUGACUGCGGAACAAACUUGUCGGUGCCUGCAGUGAACUUGGAUUCCAGAAAGUAAUGGCUGCACAUGGAACUUUAACCCUCCACACUCUUCACACAUGGGUGGCGCAUGGGAGCACAUGAUCGGAGUGGCACGCAGAAUCUUGGAUUCAAUGCUUAUGCGUACAGACUCCCUCAACAUUUAUCACGAUGUUCUGUGCACUCUUAUGGCUGAAAUGAUCAUCAAUUAUAGGCCUCUGGUUCCAGUUUCUAAUGAUCCAGAAUCACCCGUCAUACUUACUCCAUCAAUGCUCCUGACUCAGAAGCAGAGUGUAUCACCUCCACCAGGAAAGUUCACAGAGAAGGAUGUCUACAAACAGCAGUGGCGUCAGGUCCAAAGUUUAGCCAACCAGUUUUGGACUCGCUGGAAGCAAGAGUAUCUGCAGACACUGCAAGUUCGUCGCAUGGAUGUUGUUCUACUGAAAGACUGCAAAGCAGCUCGUAACGACUGGCCUCUGACGCUUGUCACAAGCACCUUUCCAAGCGAGGAUGGAAAAGUCCGCAAGAUAGAGCUCAAAGUGACCAAGCAGGGAUCAAGCAAGACCUUCCUCAGGCCUGUGUCUGAGAUUGUUCUUCUUCUGAAGAAGAGACACAACUGCUGAAUUUGGGAGAUUUUGAACUGCAGCGAUCUUCAGAUGAGCUACAAGACAUCCAUCAGGUAGUUACC